This 449-nucleotide ribosomal RNA is filed under the name uncultured bacterium. RNAcentral's name for it is "partial 16S ribosomal RNA". It matches the Rfam family "Bacterial small subunit ribosomal RNA", at positions 29 to 523 of the family's 1533-position model. The record is from RNAcentral.
AACGAACGCUGGCGGCAUGCCUAAUACAUGCAAGUCGAACGAUCACUUCGGUGGUAGUGGCGCACGGGUGCGUAACGCGUGGGAAUCUGCCCUUGGGUUCGGAAUAACGUCGGGAAACUGACGCUAAUACCGGAUGAUGACGUAAGUCCAAAGAUUUGUCGCCCAGGGAUGAGCCCGCGUAGGAUUAGCUAGUUGGUGGGGUAAAGGCCUACCAAGGCGACGAUCCUUAGCUGGUCUGAGAGGAUGAUCAGCCACACUGGGACUGAGAAACGGCCCGGACUCCUACGGGAGGCAGCAGAAGGGAAUAUUGGAAAAGGGGGGCAACCCGGAUCCAGGAAUGCCGCGUGAGUGAUGAAGACCUUAGGGUUGUAAAGCUCUUUUACCCGGGAUGAUAAUGACAGUACCGGGAGAAUAAGCCCCGGCUAACUCCGUGCCAGCCGCCGCAGUAA